AUUGAACGCUGGCGGCAGGCCUAACACAUGCAAGUCGAACGGUAGCACAGAGAGCUUGCUCUCGGGUGACGAGUGGCGGACGGGUGAGUAACGUCUGGGAAACUGCCCGAUGGAGGGGGAUAACUACUGGAAACGGUAGCUAAUACCGCAUAACGUCGCAAGACCAAAGUGGGGGACCUUCGGGCCUCACACCAUCGGAUGUGCCCAGAUGGGAUUAGCUAGUAGGUGGGGUAAUGGCUCACCUAGGCGACGAUCCCUAGCUGGUCUGAGAGGAUGACCAGCCACACUGGAACUGAGACACGGUCCAGACUCCUACGGGAGGCAGCAGUGGGGAAUAUUGCGCAAUGGGCGCAAGCCUGAUGCAGCCAGGCCGCGUGUAUGAAGAAGGCCUUCGGGUUGUAAAGUACUUUCAGCGGGGAGGAAGGCGGUGAAGUUAAUAACUUCACCGAUUGACGUUACCCGCAGAAGAAGCACCGGCUAACUCCGUGCCAGCAGCCGCCGCGG
RNAcentral lists this ribosomal RNA (504 nucleotides) under uncultured bacterium. RNAcentral describes it as "partial 16S ribosomal RNA". It matches the Rfam family "Bacterial small subunit ribosomal RNA", at positions 29 to 523 of the family's 1533-position model. The record is from RNAcentral.